This 883-nucleotide long non-coding RNA is filed under the name Lotus japonicus. Its description in RNAcentral is "long non-coding RNA (LJAP_LNC000437)". The record is from RNAcentral. Lineage: Eukaryota; Viridiplantae; Streptophyta; Magnoliopsida; Fabales; Fabaceae.
AGGCUUCCAAGCUCUCUCAUCCUCUUGAUGAAAGGAAAGCUUCUGCAGCUGUACCGCUACCACCCAGAAAUGGAAUAAAUUGUGUUUCAAAAAGUAAGAAGCGUGUCGGUGUCAGAGAUACAGUUGAGAAGAAGAGACUAACUGCAGGGUCACUCCACAUGUCAAUCGAUCUCCCCUCUGGCACUCAUGAAUCAAGCAAAACAGCUUCUGCAGCUUUACAAUCCAGAAAUGGCUUAAACAGGUUUUCAACCACUCCUUUCAUCUGGCACUGGUGUAUCAAGCAAAACAGCCAGCUGUUAAAUCUGGAAACGGAAUAAACCUUGCUUCAAAAAGUAUGAAAUCCGACUCAGUGGAGAAGAAAUCAACUGCAAGGUCACUUCACAUGUCAAUCAAUCUCUCUUCUGGAGCAGACAAAACAAGUAAAACAGCUUCAGUAUUUGAACAUAAGGCUUCCAAGCUCUCUCAUCCUCUUGAUGAAAGGAAAGCUUCUGCAGCUGUACCGCUACCACCCAGAAAUGGAAUAAAUUGUGUUUCAAAAAGUAAGAAGCGUGUCGGUGUCAGAGAUACAGUUGAGAAGAAGAGACUAACUGCAGGGUCACUCCACAUGUCAAUCGAUCUCCCCUCUGGCACUCAUGAAUCAAGCAAAACAGCUUCUGCAGCUUUACAAUCCAGAAAUGGCUUAAACCGUUUUUCAACAAGUAAGAAAUCUGUUGGAGGCUCACUUGAGAAGAAGAGGAUAAUUACACCAUCACUUUCCAAGUCAAUCAAUCUUUCAUCUGGCACUGGUGUAUCAAGCAAAACAGCCAGCUGUUAAAUCUGGAAACGGAAUAAACCUUGCUUCAAAAAGUAUGAAAUCCGACUCAGUGGAGAAGAAAUCAACUGC